RNAcentral lists this ribosomal RNA (450 nucleotides) under uncultured bacterium. RNAcentral's name for it is "partial 16S ribosomal RNA". It matches the Rfam family "Bacterial small subunit ribosomal RNA", at positions 354 to 796 of the family's 1533-position model. The record is from RNAcentral.
GUGGGGAAUUUUGGACAAUGGGCGCAAGCCUGAUCCAGCAAUGCCGCGUGCAGGAAGAAGGCCUUCGGGUUGUAAACUGCUUUUGUACGGAACGAAAAGGCUCUGGUUAAUACCUGGGGCUCAUGACGGUACCGUAAGAAUAAGCACCGGCUAACUACGUGCCAGCAGCCGCGGUAAUACGUAGGGUGCAAGCGUUAAUCGGAAUUACUGGGCGUAAAGCGUGCGCAGGCGGUUUUGUAAGACAGAGGUGAAAUCCCCGGGCUCAACCUGGGAAUUGCCUUUGUGACUGCAAGGCUGGAGUGCGGCAGAGGGGGAUGGAAUUCCGCGUGUAGCAGUGAAAUGCGUAGAUAUGCGGAGGAACACCGAUGGCGAAGGCAAUCCCCUGGGCCUGCACUGACGCUCAUGCACGAAAGCGUGGGGAGCAAACAGGAUUAGAAACCCCGGUAGUCC